This 460-nucleotide ribosomal RNA is filed under the name uncultured bacterium. Its description in RNAcentral is "partial 16S ribosomal RNA". It matches the Rfam family "Bacterial small subunit ribosomal RNA", at positions 338 to 795 of the family's 1533-position model. The record is from RNAcentral.
CCUACGGGUGGCAGCAGUGAGGAAUAUUGGUCAAUGGGCGAGAGCCUGAACCAGCCAAGUCGCGUGAAGGAUGACGGCCCUACGGGUUGUAAACUUCUUUUGUCAGGGAGCAAUUGGGUCCACGCGUGGGCUUAGCGAGAGUACCUGAAGAAAAAGCAUCGGCUAACUCGGUGCAAGCAGCCGCGGUAAUCCGGGGGAUGCGAGGUUUAUCGGGAUUUAUGGGGUUUAAAGGGUGCGUAGGCGGAAUUUCAAGUCAGCGGGAAAAAUUCGGGGCUCAACCCCGUCGUGCCGUUGAAACUGAUGGUCUUGAGUGGGCGAGAGGUAUGCGGAAUGCGUGGUGUAGCGGUGAAAUGCAUAGAUAUCACGCAGAACUCCGAUUGCGAAGGCAGCAUACCGGCGCCCAACUGACGCUGAAGCACGAAAGCGUGGGUAUCGAACAGGAUUAGAUACCCGGGUAGUC